Triticum aestivum (bread wheat) is the source of this 3558-nucleotide RNA transcript. RefSeq lists it as uncharacterized. The transcript has 3 exons. The record is from RefSeq and is a predicted model, not a curated record. NCBI's taxonomy places the organism in Eukaryota, Viridiplantae, Streptophyta, Magnoliopsida, Poales, Poaceae.
CCACUCAUCCUCUCCCAUUCCCCAGAUCCAAUCGAGGCACCCCGCCGCCCCCGCCUUCCUUUCCCUCGCUCGUCUCAUCUCCCUCCCGCGAUUCCCACUGCCGUCACCCCCACCCACCACCGCCGACCUCGUCUCCGCCAUGCACCCCUCGCCUUCCUCUGCGGCUCCAAGGCUCGGCGCUCGGCGAGGGGGAAGCGGUGAGGCCGAGGUGGAGGACGGGGAUGGGGUGCAUGUUCGACUACUUCCGUGCGGCUGCGCCCAGCUCGCCUCGGAUCUAGGCUCAACGGAGCGGAGAUGAAUAUCACGAUGCUCGUCGUGUUGAGGCCGUCGGCCGGAGGCGCCGGGGGAUCCUCCUCCAGCGGCGGGUAGGGCUCCGAGGCGCUCGUGCUGGCCAACGCCACGGACGUCAGCCACUUCGGCUUCUUCCGGCGCGGCGCCGCACGCGAGUUCAUCGUCUUCGUCGCCCGCACCGUCGCCCAGCGCACCCAGCCAGGCCAGCGCUAGUCCGUCCAGCACGAAGGUAACCACCCAUCUCAGAUCUGCUUGCCGCUACCUGGUUUAGUUUACUUUGUGAUACUAGAGCAAGGGCGACAUGGGUGAUUAUGGCGAUCUCUGCAAAGUAGCUUGUAGCCCUAUCUGGUAGUUCAUGUGAUGCGCUGUAGGAUUCGCAGUUGCAAAGUGAUCUUGUUGCUGAAGUAGCGCUGUAGGCUUGUGCUUCUGUCCAUAAUGAUUCCCUCUGUUCGAGGGUGUCCCGGCUGCAGAGGUGGUAAGUGGGGUGCCUCCCUCUGUUCACAGUUCACAUAGUACUACUUUGGGUUGCAUUCAGAUGGUUUAUUUGUUCGAUUAACUUCAGUGUUUCAGGUUUUAAGUGUCCUAUGUGUCUGUCUCCAAAUUAUUUUGUUGCAUAUACCAUGUUCACAUAGUUUUAUUAUCUGAACUUUUUGGACGAAUCAUAGAAGAAUUUUGAAAUCCCUAUUACAACAAAUACUGAAAUAUUAGUACUGCUCCUAGAUGUUUCUCGAAAAUUAAUGAUAUUCGUUUGACUUUUACUAGGCUAUACAGCCAAGUAUAUGCACACUAUGGCAAUAUGCAGCCUUGAGAUAAACAUAAAUAUUUUCCAAGGGUGUAUUAACAUGUGCCGCUAACUUCAAAUUAAAAGGAUUUGGGUGGAUCAUUUAAAAUGCAUAACACUUUUCAACUGCAGUGAUUAAUCUGCACUUAUGGUGCCGUUACCUCUUUUGUUAUUUCUGAUACUCUUCUUGUCUGUAGGACAAUGGAAGUCCUUUGUUCGGAGAGAGAAACCAAGUUGAAGUGAGUGGAAAAUACUUCGGUGCAUCCUGGAGUCCAGCUACUGUUCUUAAAGUGAUUGGUGCUUCACAUUUUCUAGUACAGUACAUGCAUACUGAAAAUGAUGGGUACACGGAGUUUUUUGAAACAGAAACUUGUUCAUGGCCCUACUUGUGUCGGACAGCAAGUGCCAAACUUGAAACAGAAACUUGUAGUAGCGGGCCUGGAGCUUAGUUCUUCAAGCAUAACCUUUUAAAGCAGAAAUCAAUGCACCUCAUUGUUAUAUUUUUUUGUUUGCCCUACAGCUUUAAGCACUGUUGGUACAAUGUGAACUGGACUUCUUGGGGUGACUGGAUUUUGGGCAAACUUUGUUGCUGAUAUUGGCCAAACUUUAUGAUACAGAGUUUUGGUAAAUAAGCUAUUUUCUGAAGAAUUUUGUUGUGGAUAAUAUAUGUAUCUGUAGUAUGUGUGAAAUGUUGCAAGCUUCGCAUGUCAUUGAGAUUCUGGAAGAUGAUUUGGUUCACUUCACCCAGUGAUUUCUUUGUCAUAAACUGAGCAUAUGCGGUUUCUUCAGGAACCCUCCUUAUUGAAGUGUGCAUCCAUUCCAUUGAGAUGGCUAUUCCAAGCAGCAAAGUUUUGUUAAUGACAGUUCGUGUGCUUGCCCACUAACAAUUUUGCAUUUCUGCCCAAUAACAGGUUCCACUUCUUGGUGGAGCGAUGUGCAUGUGCACCUGGCAUUUCUUCUACAACUCAGUCUCUCGAGGUAACAUAUUGACCUGAAGGCAAAGCUACACCACAGGACUGAACCAUACCGUACGCCGGGCGUGGUCGUGCUACUAACCGCCAGGCCACCGACGCUGGCGCCGGUGCCGACCCCGACCAGAGAUCCGUCGCCGCCCAGGACCCCAAGCUACUGGACGACUUCGCAGACACCGAAGCCAACACCAAAGUUUAAUUACCACCUCCAAAUCAAAUCCUGGGGCUUCAUUCAUGGCUGUCUAGUACUGCUAGUUAAUCCUGGGGCUUAUUUACCAUCAGUUAGUACACUAUCCAGUACUGCUAGUUCUCAUCUCACUUGUUGUGCUUCUUGGACUGGGAGCACUCUUUGUUAUCCAAGAUCUAACAUGAAAGGUAAAAUGGGUACAUCGCUUGUCUUGUUGUAUUUGCAAGUUUGAAACUGGAUUAGCAUCUUGGAGUAUUGUUGUACUCCAACAGACUAAACAGUACGUACUCCAGUGCUGAUAGUUAGAGUAGCAUCUUGGAGUAGGGUAGUCCACAUUUGUCUAAAUUAGACCGGAUUAUUCAGAUUAGUCCACAUUUUAUAUUAUUCUUGGAGUACUGUACUGUAGCAGCAGCAUGAGUAAACUGAAUACUCCUUCAUAUGUUUUGUUCCUCCUUAUUCUUCCUCAGAUUGUGAAAAUGGAUUCAUUCCUUCUUACGCACUGCACUGUACUGUAAUAUUGGUUGCUUUUGAUGAGUGCCAGAGAGCAAUAAUAGAUCAUUUUUCGAAUUAAUACUCCAAAAUUUAUCUGUAUUGGAGGAGUGAUUGUUUCCAAAUCAAUACUACUGGGCAUCAUUCAUGGCUGUCUAGUAGUCAACAUACUUCUGGUUCCAUUUAGUAUAUGCAGGUAGCAGCAGCUUAAGUGUAAUGGACCUGUUGUUACUCUAUGCCUACGUUGUUAGAGUUUGCAUCAUCUCCUUGUUGUUUAUAGCAUAAUUGCCUUCACUAUUCUUGCUCUGAACCUUUGAUCAUGAUACUGACUGUAUUUGUCUUGAUGGAAUUACAGGCAACAUGGUGACUCUAGUGUAGGCAACACUGGCCAUCCUCUUCGAGGCUGUGUGUUUAGGACGAGCUGCAGCGGGACAACUUGGAGAGCAAGUACUUUGAGGACAAGAUCAAGGAGAACCAAGAGAAGAUCACCGGUUACCUCAUACUUCUCGGCAUGCCUAGCAACUUUGGCAGAUCCCUCUUUGGCUUCGACCAAGUUACAUUUGUCACUAGCCAGCAGCAUUUACAGGUGUUGUCAGUUCUGGAAGAUGGAAGAGGAAGAAAAAUAAUUUUUGUUGAACUAAAUUUUCUGUAUUCUGUUUUGUUGUAUGUAUGAUUUGAUAGUUUUGUAUAGGAACAAGUGAUACUAUUUUGUAGGGCUUUAUGGCCUGUGUACUAUUUUGUAGGGCUUUAUGGCCUGUGAUGUAAACAUAUUUAGUGCUGAAUUAUGAAUUUUUUGAAAAAAUUAUUAGAAAGGAGAAUCAUUUGUAUGAAUCGCCAAA